RNAcentral lists this microRNA precursor (78 nucleotides) under Trichobilharzia regenti. RNAcentral describes it as "mir-3492 microRNA precursor family". It matches the Rfam family "mir-3492 microRNA precursor family". The record is from Rfam by way of RNAcentral. Lineage: Eukaryota; Metazoa; Platyhelminthes; Trematoda; Strigeidida; Schistosomatidae.
AGCCCCCUGUAUUCGUACUGAGAUUUCGUCAGAGAUCAUCCCAUUGGGGUUGAUGGUACUUCCCAGAUAAGUGAAGCG